GUAGGGAAUAUUGGACAAUGGGCGAAAGCCUGAUCCAGCAAUGCCGCGUGAGUGAUGAAGGCCUUAGGGUUGUAAAGCUCUUUUACCAGGGAUGAUAAUGACAGUACCUGGAGAAUAAGCUCCGGCUAACUCCGUGCCAGCAGCCGCGGUAAUACGGAGGGAGCUAGCGUUGUUCGGAAUUACUGGGCGUAAAGCGCGCGUAGGCGGCGAUUUAAGUCAGAGGUGAAAGCCCGGGGCUCAACCCCGGAAUAGCCUUUGAGACUGGAUUGCUAGAAUCCUGGAGAGGUGAGUGGAAUUCCGAGUGUAGAGGUGAAAUUCGUAGAUAUUCGGAAGAACACCAGUGGCGAAGGCGGCUCACUGGACAGGUAUUGACGCUGAGGUGCGAAAGCGUGGGGAGCAAACAGGAUUAGAAACCCUAGUAGUCC
This 425-nucleotide ribosomal RNA is filed under the name uncultured bacterium. RNAcentral's name for it is "partial 16S ribosomal RNA". It matches the Rfam family "Bacterial small subunit ribosomal RNA", at positions 354 to 796 of the family's 1533-position model. The record is from RNAcentral.